This 27-nucleotide non-coding RNA is filed under the name Gallus gallus (chicken). The record is from RNAcentral. RNAcentral also lists the same sequence under 5 other names. Lineage: Eukaryota; Metazoa; Chordata; Aves; Galliformes; Phasianidae.
CGCGGGAGGCCCGGGUUCGAUUCCCGG